GCAAAGGGUACGCGCAUGAGAAAUAUUCGACGCGGACGCGACAUUGAGCGCGAGUGCGCUCACGGGCACGCGCUCACGGACAUACACAGAAAAAGAGAAAGCGAGAGAGGCGAGGAGUGUGUGCGGCGGCCUCGCGCUUAUAAUGGCUGCCAAGAAAAGCAGAGCUGAGGAAAAUCAAUUACAUUGGGAAUAAAAUCGUGCACAGGUGAGGAAGAAGAGGAUGGUGAGCAGUCAAGCCAAGUACGAGCUUAUCCAGGAGGUGGGCAGGGGCAGUUACGGUGUGGUAUACGAGGCAGCUGUACGGCAGACUGGUGCUCGUGUGGCUGUGAAGAAGAUCCGCUGUCACUCCCCGGAGAAUGUUGAGCUGGCCUUGAGGGAAUUCUGGGCCCUGAGCAGUAUCCAGAGCCAGCAUCCCAACGUCAUCCACCUGGAGGAAUGCGUUCUCCAGAGAGACGGUCUCGCCCAGAGAAUGAGCCACGGCUCCAGCUCCUCGCUCUAUCUGGAGUUGGUGGAGACAUCCUUGAAAGGUGAGAUCACGUUUGACCCCCGCUGCGCCUACUACCUGUGGUUCGUCAUGGACUUCUGCGAUGGUGGAGACAUGAAUGCCUAUCUACUGUCCCGCAAACCCAGCCGCAAGACUAACACCAGCUUCAUGCUGCAACUGGGCAGCGCUCUUGCCUUCCUGCAUCGCAACCAGAUCAUCCACCGAGACCUCAAACCCGACAACAUUCUCAUCUCGCAGGGCCGCACCCCAGCCGGGUCCCCCGAACCCACCCUGAAAGUGGCUGACUUUGGCCUCAGCAAGGUCUGCUCCUGUUCGGGCCUGAACCCAGAAGAACCAGCCAGCGUCAACAAGUGUUUCUUGUCCACAGCUUGUGGAACGGACUUCUACAUGGCCCCUGAAGUCUGGGAGGGCCACUACACUGCCAAGGCUGACAUUUUUGCUUUGGGGGUGAUCAUAUGGGCCAUGGUGGAACGGAUAACGUUUGUGGAUGUAGAGACUCAGAAGGAGCUUUUAGGGAGCUAUGUACAGCAGGGGGAGGAUAUUGUCCCCUUGGGGGAGGCUCUGCUGGAGAAUCCCAAGAUGGAGCUCCUCAUCCCAGCCCGGAAGAAAAGCAUGAAUGCUGGCAUGAAGCAGCUGAUUCGAGAGAUGCUUUCCGCCAAUCCACAGGAGCGACCAGAUGCUGUUGAGCUGGAGCUCAGGCUGGUUCGGAUCGCAUGCAGGGAACUUGAUUGGGAUACGUGAAAGGAAAGCAUCUUGGACAUGGGGUAAACUUUUGGAAAAACAGGCUCUGAGCUUGAAGUGAAGGGAAAUGCGUACAGGGAGUGUGAACGGAUAAAAACUUUGAUGCCAACACACACACAACCAUAAGCCUCUGUGAGUCAGGGAUCUCACGUCUUUGACACACGAUACCAGCGAGCUGAAUUUGAUCUCCACUUCACUGUGUCAUUUCUGCCUGGAAUCCCAGAGUGCUGAAUCUUACCGGUAAUCCCUUCCGCCACGCUCAUGACAGACUAACUCUAAGCCUGUUACGUUUCUGAGGUAUUAGGCUAAGAAAGCAUUCUCUGGGACAGAAACUGCCAUUCAGGUCAACGUUUUGUACAAUUUUACAGGCAAUUCAGACAUGAGUCCUCGUGGUAGUAGUACCUCUGUCCCUUUAAACGCACAGCACGUCUUUUUCCUAAGUGACAAGCAAAAGCAUUAAUAUUUAAUGCUGUGUGUAUCCAUAUAUUUUUCACCUUGUCAAGUGGGGUAUGAUGUAAAUGCCAGAACCAGCAAAAUAUUAAUUCAGAGCAAUGGCUUAAAUCAUCCCUCUCAAAGUGUUUUUUUUCCCCUUUUGUGGAAGCUUCUCUUCCAACUGUGGUAUUAUGCGAUAAUCCACAUUAUCGCAAGAAUAAAGGAUAAAAGGAUUAUUUUCACAGAGCCACUACUUCAUAAUCACCCAAAUAUUGUUUAAUCUUCCUUUUUUCUUUUAGAUUACCAUAAUUUAUGCCUUAUUUUUUAAAUCCUAUUGCCCUUAUGAGCACUUGAUUCGGCUGUGUGUUUCCUGGAGUUCUCUCAAAGGACAGGGCUACAUUUGCCUCACAAACACUUGGUUGUGUUGGUUAGAAAGGAUUGAAAAGUGAAAGUGUUGCUAUUUGUCAGUAUUAAUAAAAGAACUUCAUGGAUAUGUGUCCACUGAAUUGUGCAUCCGUGAAGCCGACAUGCAGACGAAUGUCACUUGUCACAUGCAGACGAAUGUAAGCUCGUUGUCCAAUAGAAACAUUGUGGGAAAAGAGCAAAUUAAAGGUGUGGUGCUGUCUUACGCUAUGUUCACACCGCAAUUGCGUGUCUUAAACCUGAUUCAAGAUGGAUCUGUUUUUGGUUAAGUGUGAGCAGCAAAAAUCCCAUUUAAUCUGUUUUUUUGUUUUUUUUUUUUUUUUCCACUUUUGUAUUAUUCCGAUACACAUCUCAUUUUAUUGACCCGUGUCUGGUUUAAAAUAUAUGGUGCCCAAAAAAUAUUUGGACAUUUAAUUUACACUUAAAGGGUUAG
RNA transcript from Megalobrama amblycephala (Wuchang bream), 2534 nucleotides. It is a transcript of the gene named PDLIM1 interacting kinase 1 like, with no coding region annotated. NCBI's taxonomy places the organism in Eukaryota, Metazoa, Chordata, Actinopteri, Cypriniformes, Xenocyprididae. The record is from RefSeq and is a predicted model, not a curated record. The transcript is spliced from 4 exons.